Molecule: long non-coding RNA, 870 nt
Organism: Cygnus olor (mute swan)
Lineage: Eukaryota; Metazoa; Chordata; Aves; Anseriformes; Anatidae
Exons: 4
Source: RefSeq, a predicted model, not a curated record
CUGCGGCUCGGCGCCGCCCGACGGCCCCUAUUUAUCGUCGGGGAGGGCGGGCGGCCGCAGCCGCCAGGCGGGGACGGGGAGGGGCGCGGCGCUGAAGGACGGCCCCGCUUAGGUUCGGGCGGCUCUGCAGGGGGUUGGAGGCGAGGGGGCUGCAGUCGGGGCUUCCCGCUGCUCGUUUGUUCCUCCUCGGGUGGGUCUGGGGGAGGCAGGGUGCCCUCGGGUCUGUGUUGCCUCACGACUCCUUCAGGAUUAGCCCUAGGGCGCUGCGCGGCGCCAUUUUGUGCCUGGUGGCCUCCUCCCGCCCAAGCCCCCCUGAGGGAGGUGGCAGGGAGGUUGUCGGAAACCCCUGUCAUAGCCAGGGCCUGGGGAAGGCUGGGGUUAUCAGUGGGGCUGGGACGUUUGCAACACUCACCUGUACCUCAGAAAGCUUAGAAAACAUGUCUAAACAGCGGUUUUUUUUUUUUCCCCAUCUCGUUUGCAGUUGUCACAAGGUGUGUGUGCUCUUCAAGCUCCUGCUGUGCUCACUAGAGAGAGCAAAUGAGUGCAAAACCCCUCCUUCUCCUCCAGUAGCGUGUGCCAGGAAGAUGGGAAAGCAUGUCUGCAAACAGCCCUGCAAUGUUGAAUUUCAGUGUUAGUCAGAGCACCAGCAGGAGCUAGUCAAGCCUCCUAUGUUAAACACAAGAUGGGAUGGUAACAGUUAACCUCUGCAUUACUGCACCACGUUCUGUGACGCUACGGAGGCUGGCAGCUUUCAGUGGCACCUCACAAGUGCCUUCGCCAAACGCUGCAUUCAAGGCAGUGUUUGUGGACACCGAGUGCUUCUCCCACUGAGCCCAGAUUGCAGGAACGGAGACCACGUCCCCCGUGGGA